RNAcentral lists this long non-coding RNA (201 nucleotides) under Homo sapiens (human). RNAcentral's name for it is "non-protein coding lnc-XKR9-4:1". The record is from RNAcentral. Lineage: Eukaryota; Metazoa; Chordata; Mammalia; Primates; Hominidae.
AUGAAAGAAACAAUCAUGAACCAGGAAAAACUCGCCAAACUGCAGGCAAAAGUGCCCAUUGGUGGAACUGCUCACAGAAAGAAGGUGGUUCACAGAACAGCCACAGCAAAUGAUAAAAAACGUCAGUUCUCCUUAAAGAAGUUAGAAAUCUCUGGCAUUGAAGAGGUGAAUAUGUUUACAAACCAAGCAACAGUGAUCCAC